AUUGCAAUUUCUGCCAAAUAUUGAUUCCAUGUCCUUGAUUAUUGUGCUCUGGUAAAUCAUAAACAGGCUUGGUCGAUGGUUGACUCUGAUACUGUGAAUUAGGCCACGUAUUCAAUUCAGGUCCAUGAUCAUGUGGCUUAUAAUUAGCAACAUAUGCGUCUACAUCUUGAGGUCUCUGAGUAGAACUGUAAACUGGUUUGGACGAUGGUUGACUCUGAUACUGUGAAUUAGGCCACGAGCUUGGUUUAGAUCCAUGGUCCUGAGGUUUAUAAUUUGUAAUAUAUGCGUCCACAUCUUGAGAAGGUUUCUGAGUAGUCAAUUUUUGGAAGUUGGUAUAAUAAGUGUACAAAGUUGGUCUUGGACUGGUUCCAGGGAAACUAUCAAAUACAACAUCGCUAGAGUAGCUAGGUCUAUAUCCUUGGCUCAAAGGAUUAGGAUUAUUGGGAUCAUUGAAGGCAUAUGGAACAUAAGGGUAAACAGGAUCUCCUAGAGGAUGCGCUAUUAUCACAGGUUUUGCUGGAAGAUAAGUUGGAAUAGGCAUAGAUGCUUCAGAAACUGGUCUCUGUUGUGCUUCCUGGACCAACGAGGGAUUCACUUUUAUAUUGGACCCAUAGAUAGCAUCAUUCACAAAGACAGGUGAAUUAAUUGCAUUAUUUUGUACAACUAUGGUUAGAUUAUCUACAGGACCAAAAGGCUUCUUCACGACAAUCCUGUUCUGCUGAUGAACGCUUGUUUCUGCAGGGUUUAAGUUAUGAGAGUAUAAAUCUGUAGAUUUUGAAGUGGUUGUACUGACUGAAGCGUACUUCUUUAUUUUAUCAAUGAUACCUUCUCUUCUAAAUUUUGGAUUUCUCUCUACCCAUGAUUCUAAAUUCAAUUGUCCAAUAAUAGAAUCGCUGCAAGGUCUACGUUGAUUCUUCAGAGUAUCCUGUGUCAAGAACACAAAUGGUUGUAUAGUCUCUAUACUAUCCAUAGUUGAGCAAAGAACUUGAGCUAGAGUGACUCUCCUGAUUUGUUGGAGCUGUCCAGGCGUGAAACUGCUUUCCUGCUUCGAAUUCUCAUACCAGAAUCUGUCUCCUCUACGUAUAUUAUUAAACUGCUGGCCAAUUAUACAAGCAAACGUGGGUCCAACUAAACCGCUCUUCACUGAUUUCUCUGCAAGUCCUCCAGUGAAUAAAUCGAUAUCUUCGACGGACGAGUAGACUAAUUUGAACCUUCUAGCCGUGGAUGGUGGCAUAACUUUCUCUAAAUCGUCAAAGCUUUUUAUCGGCGAUAGAGCACAGGGCUCUCGCCAUCGUACGUA
RNAcentral lists this unclassified non-coding RNA (1300 nucleotides) under Bombus terrestris (buff-tailed bumblebee). Its description in RNAcentral is "misc RNA ENSBTSG00005031900.1". The record is from RNAcentral. Lineage: Eukaryota; Metazoa; Arthropoda; Insecta; Hymenoptera; Apidae.